AUUGAUUGAGGCUAUUUUCACCCCACUUUCUGCAGGAAUGCCCGCUCUGGCUCAAGCUUUGUACCUGUAAUACACUAUACUUCCACCACACAUGGAAACACCCAUUAUCCAGACUCUUCCAAUCCAAAUGGUGAGCACCACUUGCCCCAGCAGGUCGUCAAUUUGACGAGCGCCCUCGUACAACAUACCAUCUUGGUGAACUAGCUCCUUGAGCGCAUCGAGAUGCAGCACGCCCUAGCAAAGAACAGCUCAGCCCGGCACAAACUGUGCGUUCGAGUAGUGUGCACUCUCGUUUGGGCCCUCGAGGAAACGUCUUCUCCCCCUUAGAUGCACAGAGAAGUGUUCAUUUCUGACUCGACUCAUGAGUCAGUGUGCAUUCAAGGUUGGGUCCACACUCAGACGAGCACUCAAGAAAUUCCAAGCGAAGCAUCCACACGAGG
Molecule: long non-coding RNA, 440 nt
Filed under: Malus domestica (apple)
Lineage: Eukaryota; Viridiplantae; Streptophyta; Magnoliopsida; Rosales; Rosaceae
Description: long non-coding RNA (MDOM_LNC007449)
Source: RNAcentral